Molecule: long non-coding RNA, 2055 nt
Organism: Zingiber officinale
Lineage: Eukaryota; Viridiplantae; Streptophyta; Magnoliopsida; Zingiberales; Zingiberaceae
Exons: 2
Source: RefSeq, a predicted model, not a curated record
UUUCUGCACGUAAGAGAAUUAAUUUUUGGUGGUUACUUAUCCAUAAGGUCGCAGUUCACUAGCCUCCACUUAUCAUUCACUGCCUUCGCCUUCAUGGUGCUCUCUUUUCUGUAUUGGCUGUUUGAGGUUUGUUGCUUCAAUCCAACCAAGGCAGUCAUCCUUUCCCAAAUAGGAUUGAAUAAGGGUCUCUCUCUUUGGAUUAUAGGAUCAAAUAAUAAGAUUGUAAGAAUUUCCAAUUAAAUAAAAUCCUACCAUACAAUUCUUAGAAUAACAUCACCGUGAUACACCUAAAAGUUCAAAUAUGAGUUCAAACACUGUUAAUUUCUGAAAAAAAAAUAAACAUAAAUAGAGUCCAGACUUCAAAGUUGCUAACAAGCAACUACAAGUUCAAUCAAAUUUGCAGUGUAGUGAAAUGAUAAAUAUAAUUAUCCCACUAAAAGUGCAAAACAAUGGUUCUAAUUUAUUUUGUUUAUAGCCAAGCAAGUGUUUUUUUUUGCUAAUGAUUAUUUCUAUCACUUUGUGAAAAAAUUGAAAUGUUGACUAAUUCGUUAGAGGUGGUUAUAAAGAACCGUUACAAAAAGUUACAAAAAGUGAACACAUAACACAAAUAGCUAUUUUACACAAGGGUAAUUGAUUUUUUGAUGUUGAAUUGUCAGGGUUCUUCCUUUAGGUAGUUUACUUUGUUGAUACAUAUUAUCUUACUAGCAUUUUAGAUUUACCACUAUGGUUCAUAUACUUACAAGUAGACCCCUACUUAUUUACAAUUGGGUCCAUAACUCUCUGUCUUGAGUUGAUUCAAAAAUAUUGAAAAUCCUAAUUUUUUGAAAAUCUAUUUGAUUUAGGAUCUUUUAUGCUUGGUUUGCUUUGAGGAAGGAGAAUUGAAGGGGAGGAGGGGAAGUAAAGUGUGUAAAGGAAGUGGAAGGGCAAGGAAAGAAAAAUAAGAGGUUCCUAUAAUCCAAUAACCCACAACAUUUCGCUACUAUCGCUGCAAGGAUCAUGUUGAUCUCGGCUAUCUUAUGGCUCCUAAAGAAGAUGACCAUGGAUCACAGCAAGCGGUAAUCAAACUACAUAAAAACCUCAAUUGCUCAUAUUGUUAUUGCCUAUGAGGUCAAUCUACUCAAUGAUAAAUAUCACUUAACCCUAUCUAGCACGAUACAAUGCCACAAGUGUUAGAGCAGUCUAUAUACUAGAAUAAAUCGAUACCUCAAGGGUGAUCCUUCUUGAAACUAGAGAAACAGUCUAAUACAUGCUCUAAGAUGCAUUGCUAAGAAGUGGCUCUCCUUCCAACACUCGAGUUGUAAGGAACCAACAGAGCUUGUGGAGGGCAGUUAAAAUUGUGCCACCACUCUUGAAGUUCAAGUGGCACAAGUUUAGCUGCCCUCCACAAACUUGGUAGGUUCCUUACAACUUGAGUGUCUAACUUCUUAGCAAUGCCAACGUGCUCUAAGAUGGGAUCCUGCUCCAUCUUAGAGCAUUUAUUAGAUUGUUUCUCUAGUUUCAAGAAGCAUUAUAAUUAUAUUGUAGCAGUCAUGGUGAUUACCAUUGAGGUGUCGAUUUAUUCUUGUAUAUAGACUUUGUGCUAGAUAGGGUUAAGUGAUAUCUAUCAUUGAGUAGAUUGACCCCAUAGGCAAUGACAAUAUGAGCAAUUGAGGUCAUUAUGUAGUUCGAUUACUACCUGCUCUGAUCCAUGGUCAUGGAGAGUACCAAAGCAUUAUCCUCCUUCAAUGAGGGCGUUGACAGUAAAAUCUCUUUCCUUAAUGAUUGGUUCUUUGGCUCUUGUCAUCGGGUGGAGCUUGAACCAUGUCAAGGUGGAGCUUACUGUCAUGGCUAAACUGGAAGGCUAGAAGAACAUGCUUGAGCUUGCCCUUAUGGCUCACAAGAAAAUCAUGUAUGCAAUUGAAGUUUGGGGGAAUGAGGACAUCAAACCAAGGGAGGAAAUAAGGAAUGAUGUUGCUGAAGGGAAUGGAAGUUGUCAGCACCUUAUCAUUCUGUGUGUCAAGGGCAUUAGUUCUUGCACUUGGGGCAAGGCUGCAACUGUCCUGGUUGUUCAAUCAA